AUUGAACGCUGGCGGCAGGCUUAACACAUGCAAGUCGAGCGGGCGAGGUUGCUUCGGUAACUGAGCUAGCGGCGGACGGGUGAGUAAUGCUUAGGAAUCUGCCUAUUAGUGGGGGACAACAUUCCGAAAGGAAUGCUAAUACCGCAUACGCCCUACGGGGGAAAGCAGGGGAUCUUCGGACCUUGCGCUAAUAGAUGAGCCUAAGUCAGAUUAGCUAGUUGGUGGGGUAAAGGCCUACCAAGGCGACGAUCUGUAGCGGGUCUGAGAGGAUGAUCCGCCACACUGGGACUGAGACACGGUCCAGACUCCUACGGGAGGCAGCAGUGGGGAAUAUUGGACAAUGGGCGCAAGCCUGAUCCAGCCAUGCCGCGUGUGUGAAGAAGGCCUUUUGGUUGUAAAGCACUUUAAGCGAGGAGGAGGCUACUUGGAUUAAUACUCUAGGAUAGUGGACGUUACUCGCAGAAUAAGCACCGGCUAACUCUGUGCCAGCAGCCGCGGUAAUACAGAGGGUGCGAGCGUUAAUCGGAUUUACUGGGCGUAAAGCGUGCGUAGGCGGCUUCUUAAGUCGGAUGUGAAAUCCCUGAGCUUAACUUAGGAAUUGCAUUCGAUACUGGGAAGCUAGAGUAUGGGAGAGGAUGGUAGAAUUCCAGGUGUAGCGGUGAAAUGCGUAGAGAUCUGGAGGAAUACCGAUGGCGAAGGCAGCCAUCUGGCC
This 712-nucleotide ribosomal RNA is filed under the name uncultured bacterium. RNAcentral describes it as "bacterial SSU rRNA". It matches the Rfam family "Bacterial small subunit ribosomal RNA", at positions 28 to 734 of the family's 1533-position model. The record is from RNAcentral.